Molecule: long non-coding RNA, 569 nt
Filed under: Homo sapiens (human)
Lineage: Eukaryota; Metazoa; Chordata; Mammalia; Primates; Hominidae
Description: non-protein coding lnc-TMEM189-UBE2V1-4:12
Source: RNAcentral
AGCAAGAGCGACGCAAGAUGGCAGCCACCACGGGCUCGGCUGGAACAGUGCUGAGUCAAUUCAUUUACCAUGACGCUGCCCCAGGCACUCCCAGAAGAGAGAUUCUGAGUCAGGCCAGACUGCUGGGUAAAACUUCUCACCAGAAUAACACUCCUACCGGGUCGUAAUAAACGAAGGGGCCCAGUGUGCUGGUGGUAGCCAGCAAUAAGGUGCUGUUGCAGCUCAGCCCUGCUUGCAGUCACUCGGUUGGCUACCUACAAUCUGGGUUAACAGCUGCCCGGUUCUAACUUCUCCAGACCCUGACAGUUAAAAAGAGUAAAAGUCCCUCGCAAUUUCCGACUGUUGGAAGAACUCGAAGAAGGCCAGAAAGGAGUAGGAGAUGGCACAGUUAGCUGGGGUCUAGAAGAUGACGAAGACAUGACACUUACAAGAUGGACAGGGAUGAUAAUUGGGCCUCCAAGAACAAUUUAUGAAAACCGAAUAUACAGCCUUAAAAUAGAAUGUGGACCUAAAUACCCAGAAGCACCCCCCUUUGUAAGAUUUGUAACAAAAAUUAAUAUGAAUGGAGU